This 468-nucleotide ribosomal RNA is filed under the name uncultured bacterium. Its description in RNAcentral is "partial 16S ribosomal RNA". It matches the Rfam family "Bacterial small subunit ribosomal RNA", at positions 28 to 507 of the family's 1533-position model. The record is from RNAcentral.
GACGAACGCUGGCGGCGUGCUUAACACAUGCAAGUCGAACGGAAAGGCCCUGCUUUUGUGGGGUGCUCGAGUGGCGAACGGGUGAGUAACACGUGAGUAACCUGCCCUUGACUUUGGGAUAACUUCAGGAAACUGGGGCUAAUACCGGAUAGGAGCUCCUGCUGCAUGGUGGGGGUUGGAAAGUUUCGGCGGUUGGGGAUGGACUCGCGGCUUAUCAGCUUGUUGGUGGGGUAGUGGCUUACCAAGGCUUUGACGGGUAGCCGGCCUGAGAGGGUGACCGGCCACAUUGGGACUGAGAUACGGCCCAGACUCCUACGGGAGGCAGCAGUGGGGAAUAUUGCACAAUGGGCGGAAGCCUGAUGCAGCGACGCCGCGUGCGGGAUGACGGCCUUCGGGUUGUAAACCGCUUUCGCCUGUGACGAAGCGUGAGUGACGGUAAUGGGUGAAGAAGCACCGGCUAACUACGUG